Molecule: ribosomal RNA, 502 nt
Filed under: Pseudomonas sp. CL2.146
Lineage: Bacteria; Pseudomonadati; Pseudomonadota; Gammaproteobacteria; Pseudomonadales; Pseudomonadaceae
Description: bacterial SSU rRNA
Rfam family: Bacterial small subunit ribosomal RNA
Source: RNAcentral
UUGAGCUUGAUCCAUGGCUCAGAUUGAACGCUGGCGGCAGGCCUAACACAUGCAAGUCGAGCGGCAGCACGGGUACUUGUACCUGGUGGCGAGCGGCGGACGGGUGAGUAAUGCCUAGGAAUCUGCCUGGUAGUGGGGGAUAACGCUCGGAAACGGACGCUAAUACCGCAUACGUCCUACGGGAGAAAGCAGGGGACCUUCGGGCCUUGCGCUAUCAGAUGAGCCUAGGUCGGAUUAGCUAGUUGGUGAGGUAAUGGCUCACCAAGGCGACGAUCCGUAACUGGUCUGAGAGGAUGAUCAGUCACACUGGAACUGAGACACGGUCCAGACUCCUACGGGAGGCAGCAGUGGGGAAUAUUGGACAAUGGGCGAAAGCCUGAUCCAGCCAUGCCGCGUGUGUGAAGAAGGUCUUCGGAUUGUAAAGCACUUUAAGUUGGGAGGAAGGGCAUUAACCUAAUACGUAAGUGUCUUGACGUUACCGACAGAAUAAGCACCGGCAACU